UUAAGCGACUAAGCGUACACGGUGGAUGCCCUGGCAGUCAGAGGCGAUGAAGGACGUGCUAAUCUGCGAUAAGCGUCGGUAAGGUGAUAUGAACCGUUAUAACCGGCGAUUUCCGAAUGGGGAAACCCAGUGUGAUUCGUCACACUAUCAUUAACUGAAUCCAUAGGUUAAUGAGGCGAACCGGGGGAACUGAAACAUCUAAGUACCCCGAGGAAAAGAAAUCAACCGAGAUUCCCCCAGUAGCGGCGAGCGAACGGGGAGCAGCCCAGAGCCUGAAUCAGUGUGUGUGUUAGUGGAAGCGUCUGGAAAGGCGCGCGAUACAGGGUGACAGCCCCGUACACAAAAAUGCACAUGCUGUGAGCUCGAUGAGUAGGGCGGGACACGUGGUAUCCUGUCUGAAUAUGGGGGGACCAUCCUCCAAGGCUAAAUACUCCUGACUGACCGAUAGUGAACCAGUACCGUGAGGGAAAGGCGAAAAGAACCCCGGCGAGGGGAGUGAAAAAGAACCUGAAACCGUGUACGUACAAGCAGUGGGAGCACAGAGCAAUCUGUGUGACUGCGUACCUUUUGUAUAAUGGGUCAGCGACUUAUAUUCUGUAGCAAGGUUAACCGAAUAGGGGAGCCGAAGGGAAACCGAGUCUUAACUGGGCGUUAAGUUGCAGGGUAUAGACCCGAAACCCGGUGAUCUAGCCAUGGGCAGGUUGAAGGUUGGGUAACACUAACUGGAGGACCGAACCGACUAAUGUUGAAAAAUUAGCGGAUGACUUGUGGCUGGGGGUGAAAGGCCAAUCAAACCGGGAGAUAGCUGGUUCUCCCCGAAAGCUAUUUAGGUAGCGCCUCGUGAAUUCAUCUCCGGGGGUAGAGCACUGUUUCGGCAAGGGGGUCAUCCCGACUUACCAACCCGAUGCAAACUGCGAAUACCGGAGAAUGUUAUCACGGGAGACACACGGCGGGUGCUAACGUCCGUCGUGAAGAGGGAAACAACCCAGACCGCCAGCUAAGGUCCCAAAGUCAUGGUUAAGUGGGAAACGAUGUGGGAAGGCCCAGACAGCCAGGAUGUUGGCUUAGAAGCAGCCAUCAUUUAAAGAAAGCGUAAUAGCUCACUGGUCGAGUCGGCCUGCGCGGAAGAUGUAACGGGGCUAAACCAUGCACCGAAGCUGCGGCAGCGACGCUUAUGCGUUGUUGGGUAGGGGAGCGUUCUGUAAGCCUGUGAAGGUGUACUGUGAGGUAUGCUGGAGGUAUCAGAAGUGCGAAUGCUGACAUAAGUAACGAUAAAGCGGGUGAAAAGCCCGCUCGCCGGAAGACCAAGGGUUCCUGUCCAACGUUAAUCGGGGCAGGGUGAGUCGACCCCUAAGGCGAGGCCGAAAGGCGUAGUCGAUGGGAAACAGGUUAAUAUUCCUGUACUUGGUGUUACUGCGAAGGGGGGACGGAGAAGGCUAUGUUGGCCGGGCGACGGUUGUCCCGGUUUAAGCGUGUAGGCUGGUUUUCCAGGCAAAUCCGGAAAAUCAAGGCUGAGGCGUGAUGACGAGGCACUACGGUGCUGAAGCAACAAAUGCCCUGCUUCCAGGAAAAGCCUCUAAGCAUCAGGUAACAUCAAAUCGUACCCCAAACCGACACAGGUGGUCAGGUAGAGAAUACCAAGGCGCUUGAGAGAACUCGGGUGAAGGAACUAGGCAAAAUGGUGCCGUAACUUCGGGAGAAGGCACGCUGAUAUGUAGGUGAAGUCCCUCGCGGAUGGAGCUGAAAUCAGUCGAAGAUACCAGCUGGCUGCAACUGUUUAUUAAAAACACAGCACUGUGCAAACACGAAAGUGGACGUAUACGGUGUGACGCCUGCCCGGUGCCGGAAGGUUAAUUGAUGGGGUUAGCGCAAGCGAAGCUCUUGAUCGAAGCCCCGGUAAACGGCGGCCGUAACUAUAACGGUCCUAAGGUAGCGAAAUUCCUUGUCGGGUAAGUUCCGACCUGCACGAAUGGCGUAAUGAUGGCCAGGCUGUCUCCACCCGAGACUCAGUGAAAUUGAACUCGCUGUGAAGAUGCAGUGUACCCGCGGCAAGACGGAAAGACCCCGUGAACCUUUACUAUAGCUUGACACUGAACAUUGAGCCUUGAUGUGUAGGAUAGGUGGGAGGCUUUGAAGUGUGGACGCCAGUCUGCAUGGAGCCGACCUUGAAAUACCACCCUUUAAUGUUUGAUGUUCUAACGUUGACCCGUAAUCCGGGUUGCGGACAGUGUCUGGUGGGUAGUUUGACUGGGGCGGUCUCCUCCUAAAGAGUAACGGAGGAGCACGAAGGUUGGCUAAUCCUGGUCGGACAUCAGGAGGUUAGUGCAAUGGCAUAAGCCAGCUUGACUGCGAGCGUGACGGCGCGAGCAGGUGCGAAAGCAGGUCAUAGUGAUCCGGUGGUUCUGAAUGGAAGGGCCAUCGCUCAACGGAUAAAAGGUACUCCGGGGAUAACAGGCUGAUACCGCCCAAGAGUUCAUAUCGACGGCGGUGUUUGGCACCUCGAUGUCGGCUCAUCACAUCCUGGGGCUGAAGUAGGUCCCAAGGGUAUGGCUGUUCGCCAUUUAAAGUGGUACGCGAGCUGGGUUUAGAACGUCGUGAGACAGUUCGGUCCCUAUCUGCCGUGGGCGCUGGAGAACUGAGGGGGGCUGCUCCUAGUACGAGAGGACCGGAGUGGACGCAUCACUGGUGUUCGGGUUGUCAUGCCAAUGGCACUGCCCGGUAGCUAAAUGCGGAAGAGAUAAGUGCUGAAAGCAUCUAAGCACGAAACUUGCCCCGAGAUGAGUUCUCCCUGAC
This 2793-nucleotide ribosomal RNA is filed under the name Escherichia coli. RNAcentral's name for it is "bacterial LSU rRNA". It matches the Rfam family "Bacterial large subunit ribosomal RNA". The record is from RNAcentral. Lineage: Bacteria; Pseudomonadati; Pseudomonadota; Gammaproteobacteria; Enterobacterales; Enterobacteriaceae.